AACGAACGCUGGCGGCAUGCCUAACACAUGCAAGUCGAACGAGACCUUCGGGUCUAGUGGCGCACGGGUGCGUAACGCGUGGGAACCUGCCCUUAGGUUCGGAAUAACUCCCCGAAAGGGGUGCUAAUACCGGAUAAUGUCUUCGGACCAAAGAUUUAUCGCCUUUGGAUGGGCCCGCGUUGGAUUAGCUAGUUGGUAGGGUAAAAGCCUACCAAGGCGACCAUCCAUAGCUGGUCUGAGAGGAUGAUCAGCCACACUGGGACUGAGACACGGCCCAGACUCCUCCGGGAGGCAGCAGUGGGGAAUAUUGGACAAUGGGCGAAAGCCUGAUCCAGCAAUGCCGCGUGAGUGAUGAAGGCCUUAGGGUUGUAAAGCUCUUUUACCCGGGAUGAUAAUGACAGUACCGGGAGAAUAAGCUCCGGCUAACUCCGUG
This 433-nucleotide ribosomal RNA is filed under the name uncultured bacterium. Its description in RNAcentral is "partial 16S ribosomal RNA". It matches the Rfam family "Bacterial small subunit ribosomal RNA", at positions 29 to 507 of the family's 1533-position model. The record is from RNAcentral.